CUGAACGCCGGGGGAGCUCGGUCCGAAAGGGCGGGCCAGCGAUGGCCGCCGGCGAGGUGCUGCAUGGUUGUCGUCAGCUCGUGCCGUGAGGUGUCGGGUUAAGUCCCAUAACGAGCGCAACCCCUACCGCCAGUUGCCAACGGGUAAAGCCGGGGACUCAGGCGGGACUGCCGGCGUAAGCCGAGAGGAAGGCGGGGGUGACGUCAAAUCAGCACGGCCCUUACGUCCAGGGCUACACACGUGUUACAAUGGCCGGUACAGAGGGAGGCGACCCCGCGAGGGGGGAGCGGAUCCCGAAAGCCGGUCGUAGUUCGGAUCGGGGUCUGGAACCCGACCCCGUGAAGCCGGAUUCGCUAGUAAUCGCGCAUCAGCCAUGGCCGCGGUCGAAUACGUUCCGGGCCUU
RNAcentral lists this ribosomal RNA (403 nucleotides) under uncultured Rikenellaceae bacterium. Its description in RNAcentral is "bacterial SSU rRNA". It matches the Rfam family "Bacterial small subunit ribosomal RNA", at positions 981 to 1382 of the family's 1533-position model. The record is from RNAcentral. Lineage: Bacteria; Pseudomonadati; Bacteroidota; Bacteroidia; Bacteroidales; Rikenellaceae.